GUCACCGAGGUUUGGAUUGCUGUGUUGGCAUAUACCCUUAGUUGACAUCUUGGUUGGGCACCUUCCCUUGUCAGUCAAUCAAGAAGCCAUUCCUCUUGAUAUGAUUGCAACCCGACCCUCGAAGAAAGCAAAAAUAUCGGAAUAUUAUGAAUUAACCGACCAGAAUCUAUUUGCUCAUUUCACGAUUGAAUCAUCGACUAAAGAUUAUACACUGGUGGACAUGGGAGAUGUUUUUGUCCAAAAACAUGACCUAAUGUGCCUUCUCUCUGAAAAUGAAUUUGUGAACGACAAUGACCUUGUUUGGAUCCUCCGGGCUAUUAAAUAGCCCUCCAGAA
RNAcentral lists this long non-coding RNA (335 nucleotides) under Oryza sativa tropical japonica subgroup. RNAcentral describes it as "lncRNA OsKeNa_11g0008200". Lineage: Eukaryota; Viridiplantae; Streptophyta; Magnoliopsida; Poales; Poaceae. RNAcentral also lists the same sequence under 1 other name. The record is from RNAcentral.